CCUGAGAAACCCGAAAGAUCGAAUGGGGAGAUUCAUCGUCAGCGGUGACGGCGCGCAUGCGGCACGCGAUAUCGUGGAGCCUCGGCCCCGCGGCACGCGUCCGCGUGUAUUUUAAUGCCGGCCAUCGUCGGCGUGCACUUCUCCCCUAGUAGGACGUCGCGACCCGUUGGGUGUCGGUCUACGGCCCGGGUGGGAGCCUGUCUCGUGUUGCGCCACUCAGGCGUUUUGCGCGGUUCAGACCCCCGGUCGCCCGGCCGGCUGCCCGGCGGUAUUCGCACGGUAUCUGGCCGCAAUUAUUUGAACUGCGUCCGGCCCGUCGCAAGCGAGGCAAGUGUAAUAAUCCCGGAUGUACGGAUCCAAUGCCGUCGCCGGGCCUUGCCAGCUGUUGGCUGACGGUGUCCUAGGACUGGCUGGCAGGCAACUGCAAUUAGAUGAUACCGGUCGGCGACGCUACUGCUUUGGGUACUUUCAGGACCCGUCUUGAAACACGGACCAAGGAGUCUAACAUGUGCGCGAGUCAUUGGGAUCAGUGAAGCCCAAAGGCGCAAUGAAAGUGAAGAUCGGCCUUGCGCCGAUCGAGGGAGGAUGGGCCGUCGUUUGCGCGAUGAGGCCCCGCACUCCCGGGGCGUCUCGUUCUCAUUGCGAGAAGAGGCGCACCAAGAGCGUACACGUUGGGACCCGAAAG
RNAcentral lists this ribosomal RNA (685 nucleotides) under Brachycyrtus convergens. Its description in RNAcentral is "eukaryotic LSU rRNA". It matches the Rfam family "Eukaryotic large subunit ribosomal RNA", at positions 420 to 822 of the family's 3401-position model. The record is from RNAcentral. Lineage: Eukaryota; Metazoa; Arthropoda; Insecta; Hymenoptera; Ichneumonidae.